AGCAUAAUCAUUAGUUUAUUAAUUGUGGACUUGUAUGAAUGGUUGGACGAAAUAUUAACUGUCUCAUUUUUAUAAUUAGAAUUUAAAUUUUAAGUUAAAAUGCUUAAAUUUAUUUAUUGGACGAGAAGACCCUAUAGAUCUUUAUUUUUAUAAUUUUAUUAUUAUUUUAGUUUAUAUAUUUUGUAAUUUUAUAAUUGUUUUGUUGGGGUGACAUAAGGAUCUAUUAUUAACUCCUUUUAAUUGUUUACAUUUAUUUAUGAAUAAAUGACCUUAUAAUAUUGUAAUAAGAUAUAGAUACCUUAGGGAUAACAGCGUAAUUCUUUUUAAGAGUUCUUAUCGACAAAGGAGAUUGCGACCUCGAUGUUGGAUUAAGAUUAUAAUUAGGUGUAGGUGCUUAAUAAUUAGGUCUGUUCGACCUUUAAAAUCUUACA
Molecule: ribosomal RNA, 431 nt
Filed under: Ramulus sp. WS147
Lineage: Eukaryota; Metazoa; Arthropoda; Insecta; Phasmatodea; Phasmatidae
Description: partial 16S ribosomal RNA
Rfam family: Bacterial large subunit ribosomal RNA (bases 305-431)
Source: RNAcentral